AUUUCUUCAAAUGUUAUUUGGUGUUAUUUAUAAACGAUCAUAGUACGUUUUAUUUUUAUAUUUGCUUUUAUUUUGUUUGAGUUUUCAUUGCAUUUAUUUCAUUUUUGUUUUUAAUCUUUUCAGCCUUAUUAUUUUUAUAUCCGUUUUAGUUUUUCAACUUAUAGACUACUUAUUUCAGUUAUCUGCCAGGUAAAUGUGCUGGAGUAUGAUACAGACGAUGUUGGAAAGUGUCACCUUAACACCUGGACUACAAUAGGUUUUUAUCGGUCUAAUGAGGUUAAAGAUCAUCAGACAAAGGGGCUGCUGAUGUUGAAUCGUGUGUGAAUCAAAUAUAAUAUCGUGGUAUGUCUUACAAGUGACUUCCAGGGAAGAAAGAAAUGUCAGACGUCUGUGGGUCUAAUGGGAAAACUGAAUGUGGUUGAACCAGGUUUGCUAGUUUUUCCUUUCUUUUUUCCACAUGCAUAGCCUACAUCACAUCUAUCACAACGUAAUGACAUAUAUUUUCUUCAGAAAUCCUUCUAGAAAAAAAAAAAAAAAAAAAGGCGAGCGCUGUGAUUUAGUUGAAGGUUUCAAAAUGCACCUACUUUUGGUCCAAGACGUCAGGCUGAAACUGAUAACGCUCUGUUCUGAAACAAAUUAAUAAUAAUAAUAAAAGGUAACUGUUAUUUGGGGAUAUUUGUUCACAGCGCCACCUAGUGCAGUAUAAUGAUUAAAGCAUGACGAAUAGUCAUACCAGAUAAUGUCUAAUAUGGCGAGAAGUUUCACUCUCACUAUACUUCCGGCUUCUAAACUGGUUGCAGUUCCACGCUGAUUCCACAUGAGGGCGCUCACAGGACGAAUGCAGAAUGAAUGGAGGUCAAUGGCGGUAUUCCACUUAAAAUCCACUUUCUCAAGAAAUAAUUUUUUGUCUAGUAAUUUGAACGUUGUAUUCUAAAGGAUAUGCAAAGAAAUUACACAUUGCUGGGUGUUCGAUUUUUUAGAAUCACUUAUUGGCUUUAAAAAGUCUUUUAAAUGUCAAUGACGUCAUACACAUUCACAUUCAUUAGCAGAAUGCUAGCGUGUUAUGGGCAACAACAACUCAACCUGUAAGAAAUCGAAAGGACAUAAGUACUCGUUCAUUCAACUUUCGACCUAUAACCCAUGUUGAACUUGCAAAACCUACAAUCAGAUCUGAGAUUUCUCAACGGCAAUCGGUUGAAAAUGACAAAUUUAGCCGUCUAGCCCCAUAGACUCCCAUUCAUUUUGCCCUCAUGGCGAUCGCCCCCAGUGGAACUCUGGUGGUACUGCAACUAAAAUUCGGUACAAUAGGAGUGGGAAGGCUCUCCGUAGACAGGCUCUGGUCAUACUGUCACAUGAUACAUUUCCAUGCUCUUUGCAACAACCUUGGCUUGUGCUCAUUUGUUAAACGGACACAAAUGCAAACAUAACCAAAAAAAGAACGGUUCACAAAUAGUCAUUCGAUUCAGUUAUUUGAGCGAUAAUAGAGCGACUGUUUCACUUUUAUGGGAAUCUUCAAAGUUCAUUUUAAGGCAUAAAAGUUAUUUUUAUUUACUGGUUCUUUAAAAUUAUGAUGCAUUUGUUGGUUAAAAGAAAAAAAGAUUCCACUGAGCUAAAGAAAAAUUAUUAAUAAUAAUAAUAAUUAAUUCAAUUUGCAAGACUUAGAAUAUGCAACAAACAUUAUUUUAUUAUAGUACCAAGUCAAAGACCGUUUAUCAGUUAAUUCAUUCAUAAUUAUAGUGUUGGUCCAAUUUUUACUUUCUAAACUUUAAACAUUAAUUAUUCUUGAAGGUUCAAUCAAUGUAUUACCAUCAUAUAAAUGUACAUUUGGAAACAUUCAUUAUUAAUUAAUACAAACAUAACAGAUUUUAAUGAUUAAAUAUUGAGUAACACUACUUUUAAUGUGAUACAAGGGGAUAAUAAGUGAUGAAAGUGUGACAACUGCCCCAUAACAAACGAAUUUAAAUA
Long non-coding RNA from Carassius auratus (goldfish), 1965 nucleotides. RefSeq lists it as uncharacterized. The transcript is spliced from 3 exons. Lineage: Eukaryota; Metazoa; Chordata; Actinopteri; Cypriniformes; Cyprinidae. The record is from RefSeq and is a predicted model, not a curated record.